UACGUAGGGUGCGAGCGUUUGUCCGGAAUUAUUGGGCGUAAAGGGCUCGUAGGCGGUCUGUCGCGUCGGGAGUGAAAACUCAGGGCUUAACCCUGAGCCUGCUUCCGAUACGGGCAGACUAGAGGUAUGCAGGGGAGAACGGAAUUCCUGGUGUAGCGGUGGAAUGCGCAGAUAUCAGGAGGAACACCGGUGGCGAAGGCGGUUCUCUGGGCAUUACCUGACGCUGAGGAGCGAAAGCAUGGGGAGCGAACAGG
RNAcentral lists this ribosomal RNA (254 nucleotides) under uncultured bacterium. Its description in RNAcentral is "partial 16S ribosomal RNA". It matches the Rfam family "Bacterial small subunit ribosomal RNA", at positions 524 to 776 of the family's 1533-position model. The record is from RNAcentral.